GCAGGCAGUUGACGAUCAGAUCAUUUUGCCGUCAAUCAGGCCUACAUUUCCGCCUGCCACGUGGGUGUGUGGAGCAUAUAAGCUUAGUGUCUCUUGUUGAUUCCUUGUGGCUUUGGAAGCCCCAUCAAUCACAAUUCUGGUAGACCUGUUUCGUGGAAACAGAAGUACGCUAGAGAAUGGGCCUGGGAUCCUUUCGAAGUUGGAAAACACGUGAAGUUCCCCCUGAGAAUUGCUCAUUCAACUGAAUGUUGCCCUUCGGUGUCGGAAAUCGUUCAGCCAAUGGGAGGAGUUUCGAGAUCUGGCCGAAUUCUCGAGCUUUACCACGACAGAAAUUCCACGCAAAAAUUUUACCAAACUUCCUGUCUGGAAGAAGUGAGGGGGCGUCCUUGUCGCUUCCUUUCUCCUCCUCUGAUACAUCAUUCUCAUUGUAUUCAAAAGUAUAGCUUUACUUAUGCCUUGGUUAGAGAGUAUGGCACAAAUGUUACCUGGCGUUUAGAUUAUAUUAGAAUUCGAAGCGGUUGUACAUGUGAGAUCAAUAACAUUGCAAUGAUAGUUUAGUUAUGCUAAAACAUAAAAGAUUUAAGAUAUUAGAAUAAAUGAAACCUCCGAAAUUUAAAACAAUAAAUUUUAAAAAUAUAAUAUUUGUUAGAUGCUUGCUUAAAUCGAAGAGUUAAUUUUUCUUCAAUGAAUAUAUAUAUAGAUUACAGGAAGAUAACAGAAAUCUUAGAAAUAAUGAUAGUCAGGUAAUCAAAUACUUGAUAGUGCUUGUUGCUAGAAAUUUAGUGAACUAAUUUGAUUAAAGUUAGAGUAAUUCUAGUAUUGAAAAAUGAAACACAAUUUUACCGAAUUACGGGAAACUUAUUACACAACUGUUUCUGGAAUAUUUACUUGAGUUCCUGAAAGCCUUGCAUUGUGAUGAAUUCGAGUGAGAUGAACAUUGCAUAUUCUGAAUAAUAUAUAUAUAUAUAUUCUGUAAAUUAAAUACAACAAAAUAAUAACUCCUUAAUAAAGAUAUUUAUU
Limulus polyphemus (Atlantic horseshoe crab) is the source of this 1020-nucleotide RNA transcript. RefSeq lists it as uncharacterized. Lineage: Eukaryota; Metazoa; Arthropoda; Merostomata; Xiphosura; Limulidae. The record is from RefSeq and is a predicted model, not a curated record. The transcript is spliced from 3 exons.